RNAcentral lists this ribosomal RNA (497 nucleotides) under uncultured bacterium. RNAcentral's name for it is "partial 16S ribosomal RNA". It matches the Rfam family "Bacterial small subunit ribosomal RNA", at positions 28 to 507 of the family's 1533-position model. The record is from RNAcentral.
GAUGAACGCUGGCGGCGUGCCUAAUACAUGCAAGUCGAGCGAACAGACGAGUUUCUUGUUUCUCUGACGUUAGCGGCGGACGGGUGAGUAACACGUGGAUACCCUCUCUAUACGACUGGGAUAACUUCGGGAAACCGGACCUAAUACCGGAUAAUAUAUUGACCCCCAUGGUUCACUAGUGACAGACGGUUUUUCUGUCACUUAUAGGUAGAUCCGCGCCACAUUAGCUCGUUGGUCAGGUAACGGCUUACCAAGGCGCCGAUGCGUAGCCGACCUGAGAGGGUGAGUGGGCACACGGGAACUGAGACACGGAGCAGACUCAUACGGGAGGCAGCAGGAGGGUAUGUGGCGCAAGGGGCGAGAGCCGGACGCAGGGACGUCGCGUGGGUGAUGACGGUACCGGGAUCGGAAAACUCUGUUAUUAGCGAAGAAGACAUGUGGAAGUAACUAGGCACGUGGUGACGGUACCUAGACAGGAAGCCACGGCUAACUAGGUG